GCACUGAAACGAAACUUUUCUGCAUUAAAAAACUGCAGUUAGUCCAAGUUAAAUUUCAAAAAGUACAAGUCAUAUCAGAAAGAGAAGUCUCAUUAUCAAUGCAAGCGAAGUCUGUGUCAGUAUCAGCAAAGACAUAAGUUGAAUCCAUGUUUACACAUGCAGAGUAUGUUGCAAGUUCCACCAGCAUUUCAACUAGCAAAUGAAAUCCUUUUACAGAUGAUGAACAAAUCAUAUUUGGGUACAAUAAAUGGCAGAGUGAUACAGAAACAUAAAAAGUAACAUGGUGCCAAUGCCAAAGUGAAUAUUGUUAGGGCCAGAGAAAUAUGACUCAAAUAGACUGGACUUAAGUCAGAGAAAUAUUGUUUUUUCCAGAGCAAUACCAUUUUCUGGAUGUUUUUUUUUUAAU
RNAcentral lists this unclassified non-coding RNA (406 nucleotides) under Hevea brasiliensis (rubber tree). Lineage: Eukaryota; Viridiplantae; Streptophyta; Magnoliopsida; Malpighiales; Euphorbiaceae. The record is from RNAcentral.